GAAGGGGAAGUGUUUCAGCAUCUCAGCUGAUUGAUUAAAAAAUGGUGCAAUAUUUGUUUGAUAACGGAGCAGAGCUUAUAAAUCCUGGGAAAAUAGAUCUACAGGCUUCAAAUCCGCUUCCGGCAUAAAAGAAUUGUUGAGCAAUUUUAUCAUAUAUCAAGAGGAAUGCAAACAUUAUUGGCAAGCAUCAAUUGGAGGACUAUCUUCAAGCAAGUGCGUGUUUUCUGAUGGAAGAAAAGGUUAUUGAAAGAAUUAUCGGCUGUUUGGUAUACGAGACGCACAUCAGCACGCGACAUGAACAUGUUUAUGCUUUUUAGCCAACGAUUCUGCGUCACAAUUGAAAUUGACAAUCAAGACAAACACAGCCGCAAUUGUGAGAAACACACAUACGACGGACGAUGCACCGCCUGCGUUCCACAGUUACCCAUGGCCGACACUGUCGCAUGUUUGUUGGAUGUGAGUCAAUCGGGCGGAUUCCACGAGCAACGAAGUACAACACAACCGAACGCAUCUGCACUGCAAUCGUCUGGCCCGGGACAGUGUAGUGGUGGUUUUUAGUGUUUUGAUUCGCGUUCAGGUGGUGGUUUCGUUCGGCAGAGUGUGUUUUUCGCACAGUUCGCGCUAUCGUUCGUGGCUUCCGCUGACUCGGAGCUGAGGAGAGAGGUAGGAACAUUUAAACACAGUCACCUCGCACAUCACCAGCUCUAUGUACGGCCGGAUGCUGUGCUUUCGAGGUGCGGGCAGAACAGUACGAAUGCGAUGCAGUUAAUCGAGAAAUCGUUUUCGAACGAUACCGUAUGGGAAUCACUCAGCAGAAGUGAACGAAAGGAAUGAAUAAGCAUACUUUCUUCACUAACAUUUCAGGAACUUAAUGAUAGUUAAACAGUUCCAUUCAGCAAGAUGCAUCUCGGGCGAGGCGAAUGGCAAACGCGAUAUGCCCUGACAUGAACGUACGCCAUGCGGUCCGUGAUGGGAACGAUGAGUUUUCGUGCUGAGAAAAUGUUUGUUCCAGAUGCUCGUCAACACUGGUGGGGCAACGGCACAUUCCAUCGUGGCGUUCCAUCGUGGUGCAUUUUUGCAGGACGCGCAUAUGCUGCUUGCUGGACAUCAGCUAAAGCGGGGAGGUGAGUGGCUGUUCAGUCGAGCGGACAGGGUAGAUGGAUGACAUUCGUGCAUCGCGUGCUGGCGAGCCCGAGCAACGCUGACGAUUGGCCGAGAUUAAAACAGGAUUUCUCGCAACAGAGCGCUCGUGAGUGAAUGGCUCCCCGACAGUUGCUACCGGCAAUGAUUUUAUGCUUGAACGCAGAAGGGCAAGAAGACCACUAACCGCUAACAGAUCGAAGAAGAAACGGUAGAAAAAGAAACAAUCGGAAACAUAUUCACAUUCCAGCGGGUGAGCUGGAGAUAGUUCCUUUACCCAACGUGAGAUGGCGCUAGCAGUAUUAAUGGAUGCAAAAUUGACAAAAUCUUGCAAAAAAAAAAAAAUGCAAAAACGGUUCUAGAAAAUGAUUUCUUGCUAAGUUUACUAAAACAUUCUAACGGUUGAAGACAUUAAGUAUUAACAUGUUAAAAGAUUUUCUCAUGAACCUUUACAAUAAGAAUACAUAAACAUGACAAGUAAAAUUAAUUCUACAAAACUAAUUGAAAAGAAUAAUUCCAAAUUAUUCAUACAAUAAAAUCGAUUCCUUCAACAAGAUGCACAGUAAUAAAGAUGAAAACAAAUAAAUCUUCUGCUCGUCGUAGAAGCAGACAAAAAGCA
Molecule: long non-coding RNA, 1759 nt
Organism: Anopheles stephensi (Asian malaria mosquito)
Lineage: Eukaryota; Metazoa; Arthropoda; Insecta; Diptera; Culicidae
Exons: 3
Source: RefSeq, a predicted model, not a curated record